GUCGAGCGGUAACAGAGAGUAGCUUGCUACUCUGCUGACGAGCGGCGGACGGGUGAGUAAUGCUUGGGAAUAUGCCUUAUGGUGGGGGACAACAGUUGGAAACGACUGCUAAUACCGCAUGAUGUCUACGGACCAAAGUGGGGGACCUUCGGGCCUCACGCCAUAAGAUUAGCCCAAGUGGGAUUAGCUAGUUGGUGAGGUAAUGGCUCACCAAGGCGACGAUCCCUAGCUGGUUUGAGAGGAUGAUCAGCCACACUGGGACUGAGACACGGCCCAGACUCCUACGGGAGGCAGCAGUGGGGAAUAUUGCACAAUGGGCGCAAGCCUGAUGCAGCCAUGCCGCGUGUGUGAAGAAGGCCUUCGGGUUGUAAAGCACUUUCAGUAAGGAGGAAAGGUUAAGUGUUAAUAGCACUUAGCUGUGACGUUACUUACAGAAGAAGCACCGGCUAACUCCGUGCCAGCAGCCGCGGUAAUACGGAGGGUGCGAGCGUUAAUCGGAAUUACUGGGCGUAAAGCGUACGCAGGCGGUUUGUUAAGCGAGAUGUGAAAGCCCCGGGCUCAACCUGGGAACUGCAUUUCGAACUGGCAAACUAGAGUGUGAUAGAGGGUGGUAGAAUUUCAGGUGUAGCGGUGAAAUGCGUAGAGAUCUGAAGGAAUACCGAUGGCGAAGGCAGCCACCUGGGUCAACACUGACGCUCAUGUACGAAAGCGUGGGG
RNAcentral lists this ribosomal RNA (716 nucleotides) under uncultured bacterium. RNAcentral's name for it is "bacterial SSU rRNA". It matches the Rfam family "Bacterial small subunit ribosomal RNA", at positions 61 to 766 of the family's 1533-position model. The record is from RNAcentral.